This is a long non-coding RNA of Anoplophora glabripennis (Asian longhorned beetle), 552 nucleotides long. RefSeq lists it as uncharacterized. The record is from RefSeq and is a predicted model, not a curated record. The transcript has 3 exons. Lineage: Eukaryota; Metazoa; Arthropoda; Insecta; Coleoptera; Cerambycidae.
ACGUUUUCGUUUCUUUAGGAAUAAGGAAGUAAUAACUAAUAACAAAAGUAAUGUGGAAAUUUGAGAAAACCAUGCACAAAAGGAAACAUCCUGUAGUAUUUGCCACAGUAUCGUAAAUGUUGGAAAUUUCGUAGUAAUUGAAGAAAGUAUCGAACAAAUCGUAGAUGUCCUUUUACUGAAACUAAACGGGACAGAAAAAGGCAAAUCUGUAAUAUGAGAUGCCUGUUCCAUUAAACUGUAUGCGGCAUUUAAUUUCAAGGCGAUCUGUAGGGAGGCGGAGAACUGUAUCUUUUCCUACAUUGAUACUGAAAUCGGGGCGCCCAUUGACCAAAGUGAAAUUUAUGUAAAUGAAAGAGGCAAAGAACAUUUAAAAGAUAUAUUACAAGACGAGAGGAUUUGUCGGCUGUGUAUGCAAGCGAUCACCCAUGGGUUUACGUCGAUAAAAGAUGUAGGUGUUGAUACGUUCCGCAUAUAUAUUCCAGAAGUGAACUUUAAUUCCGUCAGAGAACCAGUUAUAUGCAAAGCUUGCCUCAAUUCAUUGGAUAGUCACAC